Molecule: long non-coding RNA, 830 nt
Filed under: Heterocephalus glaber (naked mole-rat)
Lineage: Eukaryota; Metazoa; Chordata; Mammalia; Rodentia; Bathyergidae
Description: lncRNA (ENSHGLG00000035441.1)
Source: RNAcentral
CCCAAAUUCCACCUGUGCAGAGUCACGGCUGAGGUCUGCUGCUCUCCCUGGAAAGAGUGUCGUACCUGCACUCCCUAUGAGUUUUCUGGACCAGUCCUCGAGAUGGGAAAGUGGGUGUAGCGCGUCUGGGACGCGGGACCCAGGGAAAGGAGAGGCGAGCGAGGCCGCCUAGGCGAGUAUAGGGGAGAAAGAGAAAAUGCCAGAGGCCGAGGACAGAUUCACAGCUCAAGAUCUGGCUCCCUGAAGCACUACAGGAUGCUGAGAGAGGGUCAUUCCAGGGAAUGCAAUUGUAGCCUCCAUGUGGGAGCCAUCCUGAAGCAUUUGAAGGAUCCCAAGUGGUGGCAGGGCAGAUAGUCCUUGGGACCAGAAGCUCUGGAGUCUGACAGAUCUACUUCUACUUCUGGCCUGUCCGGCAAGGACGAUCUCCUAACACUUCUUUCCAGUCUCUUCCGAGGAUGAAGUGGACGGACCCACAGCAACAAGUUCACGUGGAACCAGAGCCAGAAUGGAACUGUGCAGAAGGCCGUCAUGAAAGUGGAGCCAGGCUGUGGCCAAGGGGGGCUGGGAGUGGCCUCUCCCUCAGCUCCCCACCAUCCUCUGGGCUGGAAGAUUGAGGCUUCACUGUCUUGGGUAAAGUGCUCUGGGACCCAGCUCCAAGUCCUUCUUCCCAAUCAGAAACCCAGUCCAGAUAGAAAGACUAUAAAAUUUUUUUAAAGUACAAAUAAAUACAAAGGACAGUUUUAAAUUUAUCAGCUAGUAUAUACUCACUUCGCCUCAUUUGUUUUACAGUACUGGGCCUUGAUGCAUGCUAGGCAAACACUCUACCACUG